This is a long non-coding RNA of Eufriesea mexicana, 554 nucleotides long. RefSeq lists it as uncharacterized. The record is from RefSeq and is a predicted model, not a curated record. The transcript has 3 exons. Lineage: Eukaryota; Metazoa; Arthropoda; Insecta; Hymenoptera; Apidae.
UGACCUGACAGACGCAGCUGUCCUUGGCCUCGCAAAAAGCCAAAAUUAGAAAUGGCACUUAGUAACGCGAAGAAAGAGAUUGGAGGAGGUACAUACAGAAAGGGAAGAAGUGGGAAGUGCCGGAGGUCUGCUGUACAGUUGUCUCGAACGGAAAUGGGAUAAUGUAAUUGUCCCUCCUAUCAGCGGGGGAUUACUCAGUUCUCUACAAAUACACCGAGGGAUAAAGAAAUUUUAAUUAAAUGUAGCUGUUCGAUAUCGGAAUGCUAAUAAAGGGAAACAAUAUGAAAAUGGAUAAAGAAGCUGAGAUCAUAUCCACCGAAGAUAAAAAAGUACAUAUGUGUGGCGGACGUGUUGUUCAAUUCGACACAAUGGAAAUCAUGCGUAACGCGAGUCUUGUCCCGUCAUUAUCAGCGGCAACCGAAUAAAUUGUACGUGAUUCAAAGCCGAUCGCGUGACACCAAACAUUUUCAUUCACUGGAAUAUGUUUAAUCAGCUAUUACAUUCGUGAACAAUCAACGUACCCGUAAUCGUAAUUUAAAAUUAAUUUCAACAAU